This 301-nucleotide ribosomal RNA is filed under the name uncultured bacterium. RNAcentral describes it as "partial 16S ribosomal RNA". It matches the Rfam family "Bacterial small subunit ribosomal RNA", at positions 510 to 808 of the family's 1533-position model. The record is from RNAcentral.
CGUCGCCGCGGUAAGACAGAGGAUGCAAGCGUUAUCCGGAAUGAUUGGGCGUAAAGCGUCUGUAGGUGGCUUUUCAAGUCCGCCGUCAAAUCCCAGGGCUCAACCCUGGACAGGCGGUGGAAACUACCAAGCUGGAGUACGGUAGGGGCAGAGGGAAUUUCCGGUGGAGCCGUGAAAUGCGUUGAGAUCGGAAAGAACACCAACGGCGAGAGCACUCUGCUGGGCCGACACUGACACUGAGAGACGAAAGCUAGGGGAGCAAAUGGGAUUAGAUACCCCCGUAGUCCCUGUCUCUUAUACA